This 248-nucleotide ribosomal RNA is filed under the name uncultured bacterium. Its description in RNAcentral is "partial 16S ribosomal RNA". It matches the Rfam family "Bacterial small subunit ribosomal RNA", at positions 102 to 353 of the family's 1533-position model. The record is from RNAcentral.
ACGGGUGAGUAAUGUCUGGGAAACUGCCUGAUGAGGGGAUAACUACUGGAAACGGUAGCUAAUACCGCAUAACGUCGCAAGACCAAAGAGGGGGACCUUCGGGCCUCUUGCCAUCGGAUGUGCCCAGAUGGGAUUAGCUAGUAGGUGGGGUAAAGGCUCACCUAGGCGACGAUCCCUAGCUGGUCUGAGAGGAUGACCAGCCACACUGGAACUGAGACACGGUCCAGACUCCUACGGGAGGCAGCAUG